Molecule: ribosomal RNA, 439 nt
Filed under: uncultured bacterium
Lineage: Bacteria
Description: bacterial SSU rRNA
Rfam family: Bacterial small subunit ribosomal RNA
Source: RNAcentral
ACGCGUGGAACCUUACCAGGUCUUGACAUCCCGCUGACCGUCCUGGAGACAGGAUUUUCCCUUCGGGGACAGCGGUGACAGGUGGUGCAUGGUUGUCGUCAGCUCGUGUCGUGAGAUGUUGGGUUAAGUCCCGCAACGAGCGCAACCCUUGAUCUUAGUUGCCAGCAUUUAGUUGGGCACUCUAAGGUGACUGCCGGUGACAAACCGGAGGAAGGUGGGGAUGACGUCAAAUCAUCAUGCCCCUUAUGACCUGGGCUACACACGUGCUACAAUGGAUGGUACAAAGGGCUGCAAGACCGCGAGGUUUAGCCAAUCCCAUAAAACCAUUCUCAGUUCGGAUUGCAGGCUGCAACUCGCCUGCAUGAAGCUGGAAUCGCUAGUAAUCGCGGAUCAGCAUGCCGCGGUGAAUACGUUCCCGGGCCUUGCACUCACCGCCCGU